GAUGAACGCUGGCGGCGUGCCUAAUACAUGCGAGUCGAGCGAACAGACGAGGAGCUUGCUCCUCUGACGUUAGCGGCGGACGGGUGAGUAACACGUGGAUAACCUACCUAUAAGACUGGGAUAACUUCGGGAAACCGGAGCUAAUACCGGAUAAUAUAUUGAACCGCAUGGUUCAAUAGUGAAAGACGGUUUUGCUGUCACUUAUAGAUGGAUCCGCGCCGCAUUAGCUAGUUGGUAAGGUAACGGCUUACCAAGGCAACGAUGCGUAGCCGACCUGAGAGGGUGAACGGCCACACUGGAACUGAGACACGGUCCAGACUCCGACGGGAGGCAGCAGUAGGGAAUCUUCCGCAAUGGGCGAAAGCCUGACGGAGCAACGCCGCGUGAGUGAUGAAGGUCUUCGGAUCGUAAAACUCUGUUAUUAGGGAAGAACAAAUGUGUAAGUAACUAUGCACGUCUUGACGGUACCUAAUCAGAAAGCCACGGCUAACUACGUG
Molecule: ribosomal RNA, 497 nt
Filed under: uncultured bacterium
Lineage: Bacteria
Description: partial 16S ribosomal RNA
Rfam family: Bacterial small subunit ribosomal RNA
Source: RNAcentral